UGCAAGUCGAACGGUGAAGCCCAGCUUGCUGGGUGGAUCAGUGGCGAACGGGUGAGUAACACGUGAGCAACCUGCCCUCCACUUCGGGAUAAGCCUUGGAAACGGGGUCUAAUACCGGAUAUGAGCACUCAUCGCAUGGUGGGUGUUGGAAAGUUUUUCGGUGGGGGAUGGGCUCGCGGCCUAUCAGCUUGUUGGUGGGGUGAUGGCCUACCAAGGCGUCGACGGGUAGCCGGCCUGAGAGGGCGACCGGCCACACUGGGACUGAGACACGGCCCAGACUCCUACGGGAGGCAGCAGUGGGGAAUAUUGCACAAUGGGCGCAAGCCUGAUGCAGCGACGCCGCGUGAGGGAUGACGGCCUUCGGGUUGUAAACCUCUUUCAGCAGGGAAGAAGCGCAAGUGACGGUACCUGCAGAAGAAGCGCCGGCUAACUACGUGCCAGCAGCCGCGGUAAUACGUAGGGCGCAAGCGUUGUCCGGAAUUAUUGGGCGUAAAGAGCUCGUAGGCGGUCUGUCGCGUCUGGUGUGAAAUCCCGAGGCUCAACCUCGGGCUUGCAUCGGGUACGGGCAGACUAGAGUGCGGUAGGGGAGACUGGAAUUCCUGGUGUAGCGGUGGAAUGCGCAGAUAUCAGGAGGAACACCGAUGGCGAAGGCAGGUCUCUGGGCCGCAACUGACGCUGAGGAGCGAAAGCAUGGGGAGCGAACAGGAUUAGAUACCCUGGUAGUCCAUGCCGUAAACGUUGGGCACUAGGUGUGGGGCUCAUUCCACGAGUUCCGUGCCGCAGCUAACGCAUUAAGUGCCCCGCCUGGGGAGUACGGCCGCAAGGCUAAAACUCAAAGGAAUUGACGGGGGCCCGCACAAGCGGCGGAGCAUGCGGAUUAAUUCGAUGCAACGCGAAGAACCUUACCAAGGCUUGACAUGUACGAGAACACGCUAGAGAUAGCGGACUCUUUGGACACUCGUAUACAGGUGGUGCAUGGUUGUCGUCAGCUCGUGUCGUGAGAUGUUGGGUUAAGUCCCGCAACGAGCGCAACCCUCGUCCUAUGUUGCCAGC
RNAcentral lists this ribosomal RNA (1053 nucleotides) under Krasilnikoviella sp. RNAcentral describes it as "bacterial SSU rRNA". It matches the Rfam family "Bacterial small subunit ribosomal RNA", at positions 56 to 1122 of the family's 1533-position model. Lineage: Bacteria; Bacillati; Actinomycetota; Actinomycetes; Micrococcales; Promicromonosporaceae. The record is from RNAcentral.